Molecule: long non-coding RNA, 570 nt
Organism: Lactuca sativa (garden lettuce)
Lineage: Eukaryota; Viridiplantae; Streptophyta; Magnoliopsida; Asterales; Asteraceae
Source: RefSeq, a predicted model, not a curated record
UUUAGCAGGGGAUUUGAUUCAUCUGUUUCAAGGGAUAUUAAGAUAUGCUCCAUUAGAGAGGGUAACAUCACGUGCAACAUUAAGACAUCCUUUCUACACCAGGGACAAUCUGAGUAGACGAUACUAGCUGCUGCUAACAAUAUCAAAACAAAGUAUGUGGCGGUCAAUCUAAAUCUGCACAAAGAAGGAAGGAAGGAUGUUUUUGCUGUAGAUGUUUUUAUUUCCCGAGGGUAUGUUUUGAGUUCCUACUGCACUGCUGUGUGGAAACCCCACCCACACAUCUUAUUGACCACCUUGAUGUCAAAUUUAUGUACAAAGUACAAACAAACAAACAAAUGUAGAAAAAGAAAAGAGAGAUGAUUACAAAGUAUGUGAAAGAGGAAUGGGCAUGGUUAUGUUCUUUAUCCAAGUUUAUGGAGAGACAGCUGGUUGACUGUGAAUGAUCCUAUUUUACAGACACACAAGUUUCUGUGUAGUUGAAUGCUGGAUUUUGAUCUCUGGUUUCCCUAAUAAUGGUUUGGAUUGAAUGAAAGAAGUAGCAAUGUAUCAUCACUGAUCAUGACACAACAC